ACCGCCCGUCACGCUAUGGAAGCCGCUAACACCUGAAGUCGCUGAGCCAACCGCAAGGAGGCAGGCGCCUAGGGUGGGAAGGGUAACUGGAGCG
Molecule: ribosomal RNA, 94 nt
Filed under: uncultured bacterium
Lineage: Bacteria
Description: partial 16S ribosomal RNA
Rfam family: Bacterial small subunit ribosomal RNA
Source: RNAcentral